UACGUAGGGUCCGAGCGUUGUCCGGAAUUAUUGGGCGUAAAGAGCUCGUAGGCGGUCUGUCGCGUCGGUCGUGAAAACUUGGGGCUUAACCCUGAGCUUGCGGUCGAUACGGGCAUGACUGGAGUUCGGUAGGGGAGACUGGAAUUCCUGGUGUAGCGGUGAAAUGCGCAGAUAUCAGGAGGAACACCGGUGGCGAAGGCGGGUCUCUGGGCCGAUACUGACGCUGAGGAGCGAAAGCGUGGGGAGCGAACAGG
Molecule: ribosomal RNA, 254 nt
Filed under: uncultured bacterium
Lineage: Bacteria
Description: partial 16S ribosomal RNA
Rfam family: Bacterial small subunit ribosomal RNA
Source: RNAcentral